RNAcentral lists this ribosomal RNA (1041 nucleotides) under Haplosclerida sp. BZ289. Its description in RNAcentral is "SSU rRNA". It matches the Rfam family "Eukaryotic small subunit ribosomal RNA", at positions 42 to 999 of the family's 1831-position model. Lineage: Eukaryota; Metazoa; Porifera; Demospongiae; Haplosclerida. The record is from RNAcentral.
GAUUAAGCCAUGCAUGUGCAAGUAUGAACGCUUGAACCGUGAGACUGCGAAUGGCUCAUUAAAUCAGUUAUAGUUUAUUUGAUGGUGUACCGCUACGUGGAUAACCGUGGUAAUUCUAGAGCUAAUACAUGCAAGAGGUCCCGACUCUCUCGGGGAGGGACGUAUUUAUUAGAUCCAAAACCAGCCCGUCGGGUCUCCGGGCCCGUCGGCGUUCCCUGGUGAUUCAUGGUAACUGCUCGAAUCGCACGGCCCUGGCGCCGGCGAUGGUUCAUUCAAGUUUCUGCCCUAUCAACUUUCGAUGGUAGCGUAUUGGGCUACCAUGGUCGCAACGGGUGACGGAGAAUUAGGGUUCGAUUCCGGAGAGGGAGCCUGAGAAACGGCUACCACAUCCAAGGAAGGCAGCAGGCGCGCAAAUUACCCAAUCCCGACUCGGGGAGGUAGUGACAAUAAAUAACAAUGCCGGUCCCACAGAGGUCCGGCAAUUGGAAUGAGUACAAUCCAAACCCCUUAACGAGGAACAAGUGGAGGGCAAGUCUGGUGCCAGCAGCCGCGGUAAUUCCAGCUCCCCUAGUGUAUACUAAUGUUGUUGUGGUUGAAGCGCUCGUAGUUGGUCGCGGGGGCCCGGCCGUCGGCGUCCGGCUCCGCGCUCCCCUCGCGGGUGUCGCGGUCCGGGUCGCUGCGGUCGCUCGGCCGGUUCGGUCCGUCGAGAGGCGUGCACUGUCCGGCGGCUCCGUUGUCUCUCGGAGGCCCCGUCUGCUCUUGAUUGCAGCGGUCGGGGAGUUCGGGACGUUUACUUUGAACAAAUUAGAGUGUUCCAAGCAGGCCGGUCGCUUUGAAUACGUUAGCAUGGAAUAAUGGAAUAGGGCUGCUCUCGUCCUAUUUUGUUGGUUUUCGGGACGGCAGUCAUGGUCAACAGGAACAGUUGGGGGCAUUCGUAUUCAGUUGUCAGAGGUGAAAUUCUCGGAUUUGCGGAAGACGAACGACUGCGAAAGCAUUUGCCAAGGAUGUUUUCAGUUAAUCAAGAACGAAAUUUGGGGGUUC